This 107-nucleotide small nuclear RNA is filed under the name Carlito syrichta (Philippine tarsier). Lineage: Eukaryota; Metazoa; Chordata; Mammalia; Primates; Tarsiidae. The record is from RNAcentral.
GUGCUCACUUUAGCAGCAUACACACUAAGAUUGGAAUGAUACAGAGAAGAUUAGUAUGGACCCUGUGCAAGGAUGACAUGAAAAUCUGUGAAGCCUUCCAUUAAAAA